GAUGAACGCUGGCGGCGUGCCUAAUACAUGCAAGUCGAGCGAACAGACGAGGAGCUUGCUCCUCUGACGUUAGCGGCGGACGGGUGAGUAACACGUGGAUAACCUACCUAUAAGACUGGGAUAACUUCGGGAAACCGGAGCUAAUACCGGAUAACAUGUUGAACCGCAUGGUUCAACAGUGAAAGACGGUUUUGCUGUCACUUAUAGAUGGAUCCGCGUCGCAUUAGCUAGUUGGUAAGGUAACGGCUUACCAAGGCAACGAUGCGUAGCCGACCUGAGAGGGUGAUCGGCCACACUGGAACUGAGACACGGUCCAGACUCCUACGGGAGGCAGCAGUAGGGAAUCUUCCGCAAUGGGCGAAAGCCUGACGGAGCAACGCCGCGUGAGUGAAGAAGGUCUUCGGAUCGUAAAACUCUGUUAUUAGGGAAGAACAAAUGUGUAAGUAACUAUGCACGUCUUGACGGUACCUAAUUAGAAAGCCACGGCUAACUACGUG
RNAcentral lists this ribosomal RNA (497 nucleotides) under uncultured bacterium. RNAcentral describes it as "partial 16S ribosomal RNA". It matches the Rfam family "Bacterial small subunit ribosomal RNA", at positions 28 to 507 of the family's 1533-position model. The record is from RNAcentral.